GCCCCCGUAGCUCAGGCGGAUAGAGCAAGGGAUUCCUAAUCCCUAUGCCGGGAGUUCAAGUCUCCCCGGGGGUA
This 74-nucleotide transfer RNA is filed under the name Nitrospinota bacterium. Its description in RNAcentral is "tRNA-Arg". It matches the Rfam family "tRNA". Rfam says of the family: Transfer RNA (tRNA) molecules are approximately 80 nucleotides in length. Their secondary structure includes four short double-helical elements and three loops (D, anti-codon, and T loops). Lineage: Bacteria; Pseudomonadati; Nitrospinota. The record is from RNAcentral.